CAUCCUUUGCAUCAUUUAAAAAAGCAAAACAAAACAAAACAGCUCCCUAAUGUUUCACAAAACUUCCAGAAAGCAUAGCUAGGGAAAAAGCUAUCUGAUCACUACCUACUUAUGAUGCUUUUCACUGAGUUUGCAUGUUAAUUUAUUGCAUGCUUUGUUUGUAAAUGUGCUUCUGAAAUGAAGCAUUUACAAAUAUGAUUAAUCUACAGAUUCCGAAGCAUGCAAUAAAGAAACAAAUUACUGAGUGCCCUUGUCCUUUUACACAGAAGCUAAAAUACAACUUCCAAACAUCUAAGACUGCCUAGCUUUACUUUUCCUUUAACUAAUGUUGCUUCAAAUGGAAGCUUUCAGCAAUUGAAUUUUCUCUAAAUUCCUGAUUCCAGUUUCAUUUAUACCAGUGUAACUCAGAAGCAACUGCAACAUAUGUUGUAAACCCACACCAGCGUAAAUACUGUGUGGAGGAGGUCAAAAUAAGGCUGUUAUUGUAUGAUUUUUGAAGUGCUCAUGUAGAUUAAUAUUCUCACCCUUUAACAGAUAUAGGCACAUCAGCAUGAAUAAAGAAAUGCAACAAGUUGAAGAUUCAAAGUACAUUUACUAGUGUAUUUUAUGCCACUCACAUUUUCAGCCAGACCACCCAGAGCAAAGAAAAGAAAAAGCCACAACAAAAAAAGCCCUCUGCAUUGUUUGCAAUAAUAUGGAAGGAAAUUGAGUGUAUAUUCUCUUCUUCCUGUAUUUUCCAGCUAGAUUAAGCUGUUGUCUUCACAAUUGCCUCCCAGCUGCUGUGACUUGUGAAAACAACAGACCCUGCUCUGUUGUCUGCAGAAAGCCUGGAUUGUUACGAGUAACUUUAUUGCAGGCACAUGAGUGUGUUAAGACUUUAAAACACGCUCAAAUGUCAUGUGCACACCCAGUGACGGGCAAGAAUAAUUAUGAAAAAACAAGAAUUCUAUGUCUACGAAACAGUGUCAGACAAAAUGGGCCAUUCAUUGUGUUCCUUUGGGAAUGCUUGGACUCUCCAGCCAGAAAACAAAAAAGGCACUUUUUUCCUGCUGUAGGCUGAAUACUUAGCUUUGCCAUCUGAGCCCUAAGAAAACAUGGGCCCCCUCUCUAACUACUGGCUGGCCUGCACACAGUAAAAAGUAUUAAUGUCCCCCUUUUUUCCAGCAGUUCCCUCUGUGUAGGCUGCGGCCAAUGUAAAGUCAAUGCAAAGACAAAACAGUUUGCCUAACAUUAGUAAAAAAAACAUAACUCUUGUACAGUCUGAAAAUCCCUCUGACACACAGAGGUUUUAUUCUAAGCCAUACCGCCUCUAUCCUUCAGCAAGUUACUGUAGGUACUGUUAAUGCUUUUAGCAGGUAAUAACCGUUGCCUGCUGCUCAGCUUCAGUCUUUCUAGGAUUUUACAGAUGAGCCCAAUUGUGUAGAAUUCUUCAAAAAUAUUAUCUAACUGCCUGAUUUACUACUGUCCCUUUUCACAAUUGGUCCUCCUAAUCAGAAUUCAUUUCCCCCUGAAAGGAUUAAUACAAAUGAAAACAUGACAUGACUUAGUUCAAUAUCAGGUCAUUUUGACACCAUUUUUUUUUCCUCACAGGUGGACUAACUCCUGUCUCAUCUGAACAGUGGUAAUUUAGUGUGAGGUGUCCCUGCCCAUGGCAGGGGGGUUGGAACUAGAUGAUCUUAAGGUCCUUUCCAGCCCUUACCAUUCUGUGAUUCAGUGAUUCUGUG
This is a long non-coding RNA of Neopsephotus bourkii (Bourke's parrot), 1724 nucleotides long. RefSeq lists it as uncharacterized. The record is from RefSeq and is a predicted model, not a curated record. The transcript has 3 exons. NCBI's taxonomy places the organism in Eukaryota, Metazoa, Chordata, Aves, Psittaciformes, Psittacidae.